UGGGUAACGCAAACUACAUCAGAGGGGGUAUUCUCCCUCAAAAAACAACAUGGAAAACUAAAGACUGGGCAACGCAGACUACAUCAGAGGGGGUAUUCUCCCACAAAAAACAACAUGGAAAACUAAAGACUGGGCAACGCAAACUACAUCAGAGGUGGUAUUCUCCCUCAAAAAACAACAUGGAAAACUAAAGACUAGGCAACGCAAACUACAUCAGAGGGGGUAUUCUCCCACAAAAAACAACAUGGAAAACUAAAGACUGGGCAACGCAAACUACAUCACAAAACACAACAUGGAAAACUAAAGACUUGGCAACGCAAACUACAUCAGAGGGGGUAUUCUCGUAUGUUUUAGAAUGAUUAGCUAAUUGUAUCUUAUGUGUGUGCUUUUUAAUUAAGGUGAAUUCUUUCUGAAUAUUAUUUUUAUCCUAGGGACCUCGGUGGUCUAAUUAGUACAUCUACAGUAAUGACUAGCGUGGUGAUUUUGUUUUGUCAGAUUUUAUGGAUAACCCGGUUUGAAGUUACCUCGGAGAUUUAGUAGUACUCCUUUUCUUUCACUUCUCAUCAAGAAAAGGAAAGCGUCCUUAAAGAAAUGUCUUAUGUAAAUAGAUGAAACUGUUUUACCGAAGCAAAUUAUCGUCAUCAAGCAAGGGAAAAUUAUUUUUC
RNAcentral lists this long non-coding RNA (665 nucleotides) under Mytilus galloprovincialis (Mediterranean mussel). Lineage: Eukaryota; Metazoa; Mollusca; Bivalvia; Mytilida; Mytilidae. The record is from RNAcentral.